ACGUAGGGGGCAAGCGUUAUCCGGAUUUACUGGGUGUAAAGGGAGCGUAGACGGACUGGCAAGUCUGAUGUGAAAGGCGGGGGCUCAACCCCUGGACUGCAUUGGAAACUGUUAGUCUUGAGUGCCGGAGAGGUAAGCGGAAUUCCUAGUGUAGCGGUGAAAUGCGUAGAUAUUAGGAGGAACACCAGUGGCGAAGGCGGCUUGCUGGACGGUAACUGACGUUGAGGCUCGAAAGCGUGGGGAGCAAACAG
Molecule: ribosomal RNA, 251 nt
Filed under: uncultured bacterium
Lineage: Bacteria
Description: partial 16S ribosomal RNA
Rfam family: Bacterial small subunit ribosomal RNA
Source: RNAcentral